AGCUAGUUGGUGGGGUAAAGGCCUACCAAGGCGACGAUCUCUAGCUGGUCUGAGAGGAUGAUCAGCCACACUGGGACUGAGACACGGCCCAGACUCCUACGGGAGGCAGCAGUGGGGAAUAUUGCACAAUGGACGAAAGUCUGAUGCAGCCAUGCCGCGUGUGUGAAGAAGGCCUUCGGGUUGUAAAGCACUUUCAGCGAGGAGGAAAGGUCAGUAAGUAAUAUUUGCUGGCUGUGACGUUACUCGCAGAAGAAGCACCGGCUAAUUUAGUGCCAGCAGCCGCGGUAAUACUAAAGGUGCAAGCGUUAAUCGGAAUUACUGGGCGUAAAGCGCGCGUAGGUGGUUUGUUAAGUUGGAUGUGAAAGCCCAGGGCUCAACCUUGGAACUGCAUUCAAAACUGACUCACUAGAGUA
Molecule: ribosomal RNA, 413 nt
Filed under: uncultured bacterium
Lineage: Bacteria
Description: bacterial SSU rRNA
Rfam family: Bacterial small subunit ribosomal RNA
Source: RNAcentral